This 394-nucleotide unclassified non-coding RNA is filed under the name soil metagenome. RNAcentral's name for it is "partial contains 5.8S ribosomal RNA, internal transcribed spacer 2, and large subunit ribosomal RNA". The stretch from base 1 to 122 matches the Rfam family "5.8S ribosomal RNA", at positions 35 to 154 of the family's 154-position model. The record is from RNAcentral.
GAUGAAGAACGUAGUGAAAUGCGAUACUUGGUGUGAAUUGCAGAAUCCCGUGAACCAUCGAGUCUUUGAACGCAAGUUGCGCCCGAAGCCAUCAGGUUGAGGGCACGUCUGCCUGGGCGUCACAUAUCGUUGCCCAAUGCCUAUUGCAGUGCAAUAGGAAUUUCUAGGGCGAAUGAUGGCUUCCCGUGAGCGUUGUUCCUCGCGGUUGGUUGAAAAUCGAGUCCUUGGUAGGGUGUGCCUUGGUAGAUGGUGGUCGAGUUAGAACGAUACCGAUCAUGUGCAUGCUCCCCAAAAUAUGGCCUCUAUGACCCACACGCGUCUUUUGACGCUCAUGACGAGACCUCAGGUCAGGCGGGGCUACCCGCUGAAUUUAAGCAUAUCAAUAAGCGGAGGA